GUGCAGCUGGUUUAGAGGUAAGCUACAGUGUGGGUCUCAACAGAAGUGGUGCAGGGUUUGUGAAAGAGACUCUUGAUUUCUGUGUAGUCUUGGAUGAUUGCUCUUCAUGGCUGUGAGGGAGAUUUGUGUUUGGAGAGGGCUCAUUUUAGCCCUUUUCCUCUUUGCUGUUGAUGGACAGAAAAGGCCGUUAUUCAUGGUGACGUUCCCUGCAGUGAUUGAAUCUGGAUCUGAUGCCAAAUUGUGUGCAAGUCUUUUGAAACCCCAAGAGAGUCUCACAAUGACCGUUUCC
Molecule: non-coding RNA, 289 nt
Organism: Pimephales promelas (fathead minnow)
Lineage: Eukaryota; Metazoa; Chordata; Actinopteri; Cypriniformes; Leuciscidae
Source: RefSeq, a predicted model, not a curated record